This 1994-nucleotide ribosomal RNA is filed under the name Clostridiaceae bacterium. Its description in RNAcentral is "partial 23S ribosomal RNA". It matches the Rfam family "Bacterial large subunit ribosomal RNA", at positions 1 to 1951 of the family's 2925-position model. Lineage: Bacteria; Bacillati; Bacillota; Clostridia; Eubacteriales; Clostridiaceae. The record is from RNAcentral.
UGUGGUCAAGUUACUAAGGGUGCAUGGUGGAUGCCUUGGUGCCAGAAGCCGAUGAAGGACGUGAUAGGCUGCGAUAAGCCUGGGGUAGCUGUCAAAUAAGCUCCGAUCCCAGGAUGUCCGAAUGGGGAAACCCGUAGGGGGUAAUACUCCUACACCGGCGGUUGAACGCAUAGACCGUCGGAGGCAACCCAGGGAACUGAAACAUCUCAGUACCUGGAGGAAAAGAAAGAAACCUCGACUUCCCUAGUAGCGGCGAGCGAAAAGGAAUCAGCCCAAACCGGGCUUCGGCCCGGGGUUGUGGGCCUGGACACAAGAGGGAAUGCUUCGUAGCAGAAAGGAAUGGAAAGUCCUACCACAGAGGGUGAAAGUCCCGUACGCGAAACAGAGGCGUCCCUUGUCCGGGUACCAGAGUAGCACGGAGCUCGUGGAACUCCGUGUGAAGCAGGGGGGACCACCCCCCAAGGCUAAGUACUCUCUGGCAACCGAUAGUGUAAAAGUAAGGCGACUGAAAGGUGAAAAGAACCCCUUCAAGGGGAGUGAUAAUAGUACCUGAAACCAUGCACUUACAAGCUGUCGGAGCCCUAUGGCCUCCUUCGGGAGGCAACGGGUGACGGCGUACCUUUUGCAGAAUGGGCCGGCGAGUUACUCUACAUGGCCAGGUUAAGCCCCUCAGGGGCGGAGCCGAAGCGAAAGCGAGUGCUAACUGCGCGUUCAGUCGUGUGGAGUAGACCCGAAACCUGUGUGAUCUACGCAUGGCCAGGUUGAAGGGGAUGUAAAAAUCCCUGGAGGACCGAACCCACUAACGUUGAAAAGUUAGGGGAUGAGCUGUGUGGAGGAGUGAAAGUCUUAUCAAACUGGGAGAUAUCUGGUUCUCCCCGAAAUAGCUUUUGGGCUAGCGUCGGGCAACUACUCUAUUGGGGUAGAGCUACUGAAUGAAAACGGGGGGCCCCAAGCCUACCCGUUUCAACCAAACUCCGAAUACCAUAGAGACUAUCCCGGCAGUCAGACCUUGGGUGAUAACAUUCAGGGUCAAGAGGGAAACAGCCCAGAUCGCCAGCUAAGGUCCCAAAAUCAUGCUCAGUGGUUAAGGAAGUUCAGAUGCUGAGACAGCCAGGAUGUUGGCUUAGAAGCAGCCACCAUUUAAAAAGUGCGUAAUAGCUUACUGGUCGAGCAUUUGAGCGCCGAUGAAGAUCGGGGCUAAGCAUGAAACCGAAGCUGCGGAUUUGACUGCGGACCUCGGUCCGUAGUCAUCUGGUAGGGGAGCGUUGCUAACCGCGUUGAAGGUGUACCGUAAGGAAUGCUGGAGCGUUAGCAAGUGAUUAUGCCGGCGUGAGUAACGAUAAGACAGGUGAAAAUCCUGUCCGCCGUAAGCCUAAGGGUUCCUGGGGAAGGGAAAUCCGCCCAGGGUUAGUCGGCACCUUAGUCGAGGCCGAGAGGCGUAGACGAUGGACAGCAGGUUAAUAUUCCUGCACCAGCUAUGUAACGUUUGCACGUGCGGAGUGACGCGGAGCCUUUGGAGGAGAAGCCGAUCGGAAAUGGCUAUCCCGUAGGCAAGGCCGCCGGUAGGCAAAUCCGCCGGCACCAGGCCAAGCUGCAGGGCGAUGGACGAUUGAGUUCAGAGUCCUCGCUGGUUCUGCCAAGAAAAACUUCGUGCGGAGGAGCAUGGCUGACCGUACUAAAACUGACACAGGUAGGCGAGGUGAGUAGCCUCAGGCGCUCGAGAGAAUCCCACUUAAGGAACUAGGCAAUAUGACCCCGUAAGUUCGCAAGAAGGGGAGCCUCCUCACCUUCGGGUGAGAGGCCGCAGAGAAUCGGCUCUGGCGACUGUUUACCAAAAACACAGGUCUCUGCUAACUCGCAAGAGGAUGUAUAGAGACUGACGCUUGCUCGGUGCCGGAAGGUCAAGGAAGCCGGUCAUUCGGAAGACUUCACCGUCGGAAGAAGAAGCUGGCGACUCAAGCCCCGGUUAACGGCGGCCGUAACUAUGACGGUCC